Xyrichtys novacula (pearly razorfish) is the source of this 6686-nucleotide non-coding RNA. The record is from the annotation of a GenBank genome assembly. NCBI's taxonomy places the organism in Eukaryota, Metazoa, Chordata, Actinopteri, Labriformes, Labridae.
GCAUAAUAAGAGUACAGACAUUGAGAAAAUGGUCACUGCUACAUUUCUUGGCUUUGUCAGGGUUUUGUUGGCGCUCUUUUCAGACGAUCUGGGUCAUGUUCAGGACGAUGGUUCUUCAAGUGCAUGAUUAAAUUGGUAUUCUUACAUCACAUGUGCUCAAGCAGUGCAAAUGGUUAUUUUACUCUCUGUUUAAGACACAUUAAGAGAUUCUAUUAAGCUGAUUUCUAUGCCGUACAUAUCAGAGGAAAUUUUCAUAUCUGGGAUCACUUUGCAUCCUUACUUUUCAGGUUUUUACAUGUAAAAUAUCACUAAAGUGAUAACUCUAAGGGCGUGUAUCUUUAUGUUUUAUUAGCCUGUGUUGAUAAGAAGCUCAAACACUUACAGGCCUUAGUGCCGUAGCUACAAUAUGCACCUUGUCCAUUCAAACUCACAACCUUAUGCUCAUCAAAACACACUGGAUCUUCUCAAUCACGAGCUCAUGCAUUAUGCUUCCAUUAACAAAGACAAACGAGGCAGUAGUAUGAGCGGGGAGCUCCCUGAGCAAAGAUUUACGAUGACACCAGAUGUGGGACGUUUCAACGGCGCCUGUGAUCGCUGUAAUGAAGGCAUGAGGCAGAGAGCAUGAAAUAAAGCGAGAGGCCUAACAAUUCCAAAGCCCCUUAAAACAAAUCAGCUAAAUCAAGCCAGCAGUGUCAUUAUCCACCCUCAGUAAAUCAGGCUGUUCCGUCGCCAUAAAAGCCCCGUCAUUAACGGUCACACGUCAUGUUCGUCAGAUUCACACAUUCUUCAUGCAGAUGAGUCCUAAACACAUGUGAGAUAGAUGGUAAAGACGCUCCUGACCCACAAUUCAGCUCUGCAACCAACAGUUAUAAAUCCAUGUAGAGCAAAUGUGAUGAAUCUUUUUCAUUUACUGACAUUAGUGUGAUGUGGACGAAUGGGUUUUACAUCUUUGGGUAUUACUCCGCAAUAUUUUAUAGAUGUGGGACAAAUUCACUCAACUUUUCAUCUUAGACAAAAUAAAUCAGUGGUCUCUUAGAUUGACAGGAUAUUUAUACCUGACUAAACGGCUUGAACACAUUUAUUUAAUAAGCUUAUUCUUGUUUUUUUGCUGUUUCUUGUUUAUUUACUUUUAAUUUUUAAGGGUUGGAUUAUCUCAAUAGAAAUUUGUGUUAAAAAAUAAACUCUUUUAGUGCUCUUCAGAAAUAAUCACUAUCACUUGUUGCUGAACAACAGUUUCUUUCGAUUAAUUAUCAAACAUUUAUUCAAAUAUCAAAAACAAAAAACUUACUCACAAUUUACCUGGACCCCAGCUUGAAUUUUAAGAUAAGAAACGGAAAAAUAGCAAAAAUAAUAUUUUUACAACUUUUCACAAUGUAUUUAUGAAUGAUUUACUGUAGUUUUCCUCCACAUUUUGUCCUCACUGGGCACCCAUAAGUGGAGUCUGAUUGUCUAGUUAGGUUGUGAAUUUCAGGAUUUUCGCAAAAGUUUGAUAAGUCUGAUACAUAACCCAGAAUUUGUCACUAUGAAUGUACAUCAUUAGUUUGCAUAUUACAGUCAGUUUAUUACGUCUGUAGAUUGUAAAUGCUGGAAAGUCGAGUCAACUUUAGAGUGUCAGUGUCUACAAAUGUUCUUCUGUUACUCCAAGAUGGAAACCAGUUUGAGAUCAUCCCCAAGUUUGAAUUUUACUUAAAGAAUUAAAUGAAACAACCUUAAUUGGGAUUAGUGCAUAGUCAUAAUGCUGUACAGCCUCCAUUGCUCUUUGUGAUAUUGCAAGAGUGUGUUACUUUUUUAAGGUACAUUUUGAGGGAGUAUUUUUAUCUUUGACAGAUAAUGAGACAGUACAUGAGAGGAAAGGGAGUCGGGUACGAAGCACAGGGUCGUGGUCAAGAUUUUGAACCGACAUCAAAGACUUGAGCCUCUGUAAAUGGGACGCACGCCAUGACUGUUGGGCCAAACUGACACCACAGAAGUUAAAAACUUAGUAGAAAUUUUUUCCAUUCACGUUUAGUUUGACCAAAGCUCCUAGUACACUUUUAGUUUUCUUAGAUUUUGGUGCCCCCUAUGGACAAAGCAGUACCUCUUAUUUCUUUGUGUUUACACGUCAAACUGUAUAAUUUUUAAUGAAAACAUUUUAGCUCUUGCUGUAAAUCUCUACGGUGAAAAAACUUACAAUAGACUUUUUUUGGCCAUGUGCUCUCAGUGACUUCUUCUGUCACCUACCCUGCGGCAGAAGUGUUUCAACUGGCUAUCUAUAGAAAUGGCAAGUCAUGCGGUGAUAGUCUUGCUCGCUCCAUAUUGAUUUAAGUCUGUUUCAUAGCCAGCUAAAAUCUCCUCACAGGAGCUUUAAGUUUUGAGUUAACUCACACAAGUGGGUCAUCGGAAAGACAAUACUGCGUCAAAUGGAUGAGGGAAAUUUCUGUGUCUAUUUAUUGCGUUAACUGACUCAUGUACAUCUGUUCUGCUACGACAAAGCCUAUUAAUCUCUCACAGAAAAUCUCUUCUCCACAUGUUCAAAUGUAAAAUACUUCCAGGGACCUGAGAUAAACUUGACGUCUUUGUGGCUUCAUGUUGAAUCACAGUACAGCUCCACCUGUUCGGCUUUGAAGUUCAACGUGAGCGAGACUCUCGGCCUUUCACCCACGGGGGAAACACAUCAGCACGUCCAUGUUAGAAACGGUCAUUUCUGCACAGCUGCACGCCACGUGUUCUGCUGUCGCUGGUCUGUUAUGGUUAAAGUUCACAUAGUUAUGCACAAAAACCACCUUUCCAGAAAUAAAUCCAUGCCUCAAAUACAUAUAUCAAGCAGCUUUCAAACACUUGUUACAGAUGUUUUGGUCAUGUAAUGAAUUUAACACCCUUCUGUCAGCAGUAUUAAUGAUCCGAGCGAGGGAUUUCCCCCCGUUGUUACACAAACAUUUGCUGCUUUGAAUAAAUCGUCCUCAUUGCUUAUGUGCACUGGAAAGUCAGGCAGAUCUCUGUUUAAGGGAAAAACGAAGACCUCUUUCAUGUUCAAUCAGCUGAGAAGUGUGUCCUCCAUCAUCCGGAGGAACGUGGGGGUUUGAUGUUUGGAGGAGAAAAAGGUUUCGGCCUCUCCAAACAAGUGCCAUAUUUAUCAUCACUUCAUCAUUUCCUCUCAUUUGACAAGGGAAAUAAACAGAAGAACACAAAGUCAGAGCCGGUUUUCACUGAGCUGACCUUAAAGAAGGAAGUGAGCCGGGUACGCCGAGAUUAUCUUAAUGUGGAUAAGUUGUGUGUGCACUGACUCACAAUGAAGUGUCUUUUUGAGCGAAAAAGCCGGCAGAAAAAGGGGGAAUUUUCCCUUCGAAGACAGUCUGUCAACACACAAAGCGAUGGAAAGAGCAACAGUGAGUUAAACAGUGGGCCCUUGUCUUUCAGCACUCAACAUGCCCUAUAAUUUACACACCACUGACAGCGGCCAUUUUGAAGUCUGUCAUAGGCGGCUAACUUUUUUUGUCUCUGAAAAACGUCUUGCUCAGAGUGAGUCGGCCUCAGCUCUUGGUCUGGGUGAUUAAUGACUUCUGGCCUUAUUGUGUGGAGGUGGCUAAUUAACUACAGGCUGACUGAAGAGACAUGCUAUGAAAACCCUCCUCUGAUAACCCACCUCCUCCUCCUCCUCUUCGUCUUGGCAUGUGGAAGCUCUUACUGACAAAUUUUGCAAGAAGCAGACAAACGUUGAGUAAGAUGAAUGGCCUCUGAGAGCAGUAAACAGCCUUUAAUUUAACAGUGUUUAAAUGUAUGACACGCUGGCAUUGUGCUUCCGCGCUGUUCGUGCUCUCCGCUUUGGGAAACCAAGCCAAAGUUUUCCCCCGCAGUUGAUUUUAAAAUUAGGCUUGGCAUAUUCGUGUAUAGGGGAGUUUGUGUAGCCGGAGCUGGCAAACAUGUGUUCAUUGCCUCUUUAAGUUUUCUGCAGUCGCUUCACACUGACAUUUUCAGACAAAGACAAUCCGUUUCUAUAGCAAACUCGUCUUUAAAUGUACCGAGGAGGCAGCCAAUAAGAACACAGACUGAUUAAGUCAUAAACAACUUUUCUGGAGCACAAAGACCACACUUUGUGGUAAAGUAACACCGAGCCCGUUUCGACAAUGAUAUUGCUACAGAUCACUUUCGCCCAUAUGGUUAAGCAUGCAUAUGAGUAGAGAUAGACCAAUUAAGCAGUCGGCAAAUUAAUUGGGCCGAUUACUGGCAUGUUGCCAUAAUCUGCAUCAUUUGGCAUUGGCUCUCACAAGAGCGAUUUCACUAAGAUCUUUGGAAAACACAUUUUUCCAAUCCUCAGUGACAGCAAAUCAUAUUAAAAACAGCAACUGGCCAGGGUUUAGUGUAAGUUCUAUAAUAAUGUAUAGAAUGUUAUAUAGCUAUAUAGCAUCACCCAGUCUGUUCACUAAUUCUUUAAAGAUUCACCAACAGUCUGUUAUGGGCUAAAAUAACCAUGUAUAUUACAUUUUUUAUGUGUUUGGAACUUGACAUAACUUUCUGCUUCAUUUCAACUAUAAUAUUCAGCAUGUAUUUUUGUUCAAUAACUUUAGAUGGCGGGAUAGAAAACCAAAAGACCCCUGUGACAAUAUUGUCCUGAGCCAAAUAUUUCUCUGUCUGAUUUACUUAUUGAAAUGAGAUAUAAUUGUAAUAAUUACAGACAGGAAAAUUGAUUUAGAGAGGAAAGAAAAACGUAUCACCACUCUACCAAAGCGACAGCCUCCUGUAAUGAAAUUUAAGCCACUGUAUAGGUGCAUGAAACUGCAGUUCCUCAAGUGUCCACUAGAAGGUGGCUGCAAAAAGCUAAGGGCACCUCAUAGGGCCCCAUUUUGAAAUGUUUAAUGCUUCCACAUAUAUAAAUAUGUUUACCGACUGGUGUUGUAAACAGCUUCAGUCUGUGCUGCUUUUCUUUAUUUGUACACUCUGGGUGUCGUUCAUAAAACAGGAUUUGCACAUAAAAAUUCUUGGUAUAAGAAAACUCACAUGGUAUUCAUGGAUACUGCAGAAAACUCUGAUUUGAUAAGAUCAUGUGCAUGUUCAUAAAUGCAAAAAAAAUCUUAAAUUGACAGCAUUAUCCCACUAGUAACAAUUCAGUAUGUGUUCCUGCCCAUGACAAUGACUACCGCAUAAAUAGGUAUGGAAAUGCUCAUCCUAUGUACCAGUAAGCACAGUGCAGAGAGUAAAGGAAAACUUAAAGAUGCAGAGACUGAAGUUAUCUACGGUGGAGUUGAGCAAAGGAAAUAGAUUUUAUUUUCCCGCUUUAUUUAUUUAUUUACAUUCGACUGCUCUCUCUAAAAUCAUAAUAUUCACACCAUUCGAACAUUAAUUCAUGUUAUUUUAUUGAUCACAUGCUAAGAGACAGUACCUCAGCGCCAAAAAACUAACAAAAUAAAUGUUUCCAGACACAGGAUGAUCAUCAUUUCACUGUGCACAUAUCUUUUGUUAUUAUGCAUAUGUUUUUGGCUACCAUAAAGCCUUUAUAUCAUGUGAUAACAAGGACAGAAGUUGUUGGUUUUUUUACAGUGCUGCUGUUUAAUUGUUCAUUUCCUUCUAAAGAUUCAGAGCUAACUGAGCAGAGUCAUUCUGUAAAUCAAUGCAGUGCAGCUUGUGGUAUAUACAGUUAUACCCAUCAGUGUCAUGCACUGUGAUUCACCGGUGCAUAAUCUGCUGCACUGAUCAUUAAUCAACCAGGGAGUGAGUCACUUUUUUACCAUCUUUGUACAUACAGUUAAGUUCUAGUUCAGUUAUGUCCUCUCAUCCAUUGAGGGUAGACAGUUGAUAACACCCUGACAGCAUUCCCACCUCCUCUUUCUUAUUCUACUGUACCGUUUAGUAACCUCUGUGACAAGGGGGAUUAAAGUGAAAGUAGGAAAACCAGGUACUUUACUGCUCAGCAAAAACCCCAGACUCCUUACAUGAGACAAUCCCAUGCUUUUCUGAUCUAAUUCCAGGUAACAAAUGCAUCAUAUUCAGACCAUUAUGAUUGUCAUCUUGUAUGCAUCUGUCUACUGUAUGUUUCUUGGAAAGGAUGAACUAUAAAUGGGAAUUCCCCCUUUGUGGGAUUAAUAAAGGAGUAUCUUAUCUUAUGAUAAUUCUAUAUUUAGCUUUUUUCCGCUGGGCAUUUUGGUCAACGAUAUCUUAAUCUGCCAGACAACUGCAUGUGAAACUACCUUAUGGUUCAAAUCUCCUCAUUCUUCAUUAUCACCAUUGUUAAGAUGCAGUGUUGCUCUUUUUGUAUUUAUGUCAACAGCCUAACUUAAUCAAGUUACCAUUGAACUCAUUGGACAGUUUUAGUGCCAGAAUUAUAACCUUGACCUUUAAGAUGAAGUUAGCAUUGGGCAAAACUUGGAGACUUUUUUUUCCUGGUGAAAUAAAUAAAAUAAAUAUUAACCAGAACUGUGACAAUGAUUAAAUAUAGCGUGGAAAAAUAAUGUUCUUUUAGGAUGAAAAAUGCUACAGGGACCCAAUGUGGUGAAAAAAUGCAUAAUGCCAGCUGGCAGACCAUUACAGGUGAUGGACAUUUCACUUACCUAAGUCAAAUCUACCAGACUGUUGUUCAUUAAUAUACAGGAGGGUCUGCAGAAUCCUGCCUGCCAUCUGGUUAAAUCGACAGAGUAAUCUACAGCUCGUGAUUAGGGCUGAGGAGCACGGUUUCUCUUUCAUCUUCUAGAAAAAAAAAAAAAAAAAGUUUCCAU